UCAAGUGACUAAGUGCAUGUGGCGGAUGCCUUGGCGAUCACAGGCGAAGAAAGACGCGGCAGCCUGCGAAAAGCUGCGGGGAGCUGGCAAACGAGCUUUGAUCCGCAGAUAUCUGAAUGGGGGAACCCACACCGCAAGGUGUAUCCGUGACUGAAUACAUAGGUUACGGAGGCGAACGAGGAGAACUGAAACAUCUAAGUAUCCUCAGGAAAAGAAAUCAACCGAGAUUCCGGCAGUAGCGGCGAGCGAACCCGGAGGAGCCUAGCUUUUGAUAGUACGAACUUUAGCCGAAAGGUCCUGGAAAGGCCUGCUAUAGUGGGUGAUAGCCCCGUAGGCGAAAGAGUUCGUAUGGUACUAAGGAAGCGAGAAGUAGAGCGGGACACGUGGAAUCCUGUUCGAAGAUGGGGGGACCAUCCUCCAAGGCUAAAUACUCGUGAUCGACCGAUAGUGAACCAGUACCGUGAGGGAAAGGCGAAAAGAACCCCGGGAGGGGAGUGAAAUAGAACCUGAAACCGCAUGCAUACAAACAGUAGGAGCCUCGUCAGAGGUGACUGCGUACCUUUUGCAUAAUGGGUCAGCGACUUACAUUCUGUGGCGAGCUUAACCGAAUAGGGGAGGCGCAGCGAAAGCGAGUUCGAAAUGAGCGUCCAGUCGCAGGGUGUAGACCCGAAACCAGAUGAGCUAUCCAUGGCCAGGUUGAAGGUGUGGUAACACACACUGGAGGACCGAACCGACUAGUGUUGCAAAAUUAGCGGAUGAGCUGUGGAUAGGGGUGAAAGGCCAAACAAAUCUGGAGAUAGCUGGUUCUCCCCGAAAACUAUUGAGGUAGUGCCUCGUGUGUCGCUCCAGGGGGUAGAGCACUGUUUUGGCUAGGGGGACAUGGAGUCUUACCAAACCAAGGCAAACUCCGAAUACCUGGAAGCGUGAGCACGGGAGACAGAGCACCGGGUGCUAACGUCCGGACUCAAAAGGGAAACAACCCAGACCGCCGGCUAAGGUCCCCAAUAACAGCUAAGUGGAAAACGAAGUGGAAAGGCCGUGACAACCAGGAAGUUGGCUUAGAAGCAGCCAUCCUUCAAAGAAAGCGUAAUAGCUCACUGGUCGAGUCCUUCUGCGCGGAAGAUGUAACGGGGCUAAGCUGUUAACCGAAGCCGCGGAUGCGCUGAUUAUUCAGUGCGUGGUAGGGGAGCGUUCUGUAAGUCUGCGAAGGCGGUUCGAGAGGACUGCUGGAGAUAUCAGAAGUGCGAAUGCUGACAUGAGUAACGUUAAAGCAGGUGAAAAGCCUGCUCGCCGUAAGCCCAAGGAUUCCUGCUCUACGUUCAUCGGAGCAGGGUGAGUCGGCUCCUAAGGUCAGGCCGAAAGGCGUAGCCGAUGGGAAUCAGGUUAAUAUUCCUGAACCUGCGUCAGAUGCGAUGGGGGGACGGAGCAUGAAAGAUCAUCCGGGUGUUGGAUGUCCCGGUUGACGAGCGUAGGAGGUCUGCAGGCAAAUCCGCAGACGCAUCUCCAAGGCGAAGUCACGUGCCGCCACGGCGGCGAAGUGAUCGGAAGUGCUUCCAAGAAAAGCCUCUAAGCACCAGUCUGACGCGGACCGUACCGCAAACCGACACUGGUGGGCGAGCUGAAUAUGCUCAGGCGCUUGAGAGAACUCGGGAGAAGGAACUCGGCAAAUUGACACCGUAACUUCGGAAGAAGGUGUGCCGUAGUACCGUGAGAGGAGAGACACCUUGAGCGGGAAUCGGUCUCAGAGAAUAGGUGGCUGCGACUGUUUAUUAAAAACACAGCACUCUGCAAAGUCGAAAGACGACGUAUAGGGUGUGAUGCCUGCCCGGUGCUGGAAGAUUAAUUGAUGGGGUGAGAGCCCUUGAUCGAAGUCCCAGUAAACGGCGGCCGUAACUAUAACGGUCCUAAGGUAGCGAAAUUCCUUGUC
Molecule: ribosomal RNA, 1927 nt
Filed under: human gut metagenome
Description: bacterial LSU rRNA
Rfam family: Bacterial large subunit ribosomal RNA
Source: RNAcentral